AGUAGAGAGGGUGAGAAGAAUGCAGUGACGUUUCAUUUUGCCGCUCAAGGUUUUGUGAUCGAAGUUUUCAUCGAAGGGUUUUUGAUCUCUAAGUUUUGCGUUUGAGUUGGUCGAGAAGCAGAUGGCGGAUAUCCAAGAAACAAAGGAGAAUGAAGGGACCAAUAAGGCGACGGGAGUUUCCGUGACAGGGAGGCAAGCACAGAAUGAAAAGGAGGACGAAUUGCGGAGUUCAAGCAAAUCAUUUCUAUUGGUGCCAAAUGUCAAUGAAUCAGGAACGGAGGAGGAACAAGCAGCAUUCUUGGAGGAGCUGCAAACUUUCCACAACGAGAGGUCUUUGGAAUUUGAAGUGCCAAUGUUCAAUGGAGAGCCACUAAAUUGCCUCAAGUGUGUUUUAGUAUACACUAACAUUGAACAUUGGCACUUCAAAUUCCGAAGACCUCUCUAUUGGUGCCAAAUGUCAAUGAAUCAGGAACGGAGGAGGAACAAGCAACAUUCUUGGAGGAGCUGCAAACUUUCCACAACGAGAGGUCUUUGGAAUUUGAAGUGCCAAUGUUCAAUGGAGAGCCACUAAAUUGCCUCAAGUUAUGGAGAGUUGUCAUGAGACAUGGUGGCUAUGAUGAGGUUUGCCAGGGUCUUGUACUUUUAAGAUUUGAAAGUUGAUUAUACUUGCAUAAUUUAUACAAUUAAUGUCAUUUUCUGAACAUCUGACUUGCUUGUUUCUUAAUUAACAUCCAUUCUUCUUUUUUUUCGAAAUUUGAAAUCCAACAAUAGAAAUGUGACAAAUAGGUGAACAACUGCUGAGCCCGAGCUUGAACGUGAAGCUCUAGGCUUGAUAUGAUCUUGAGCCAAGUUCAAGCACCUUAGCCCAAUUCUCAGCUCGACUAUGCUCAUUUCGUUUGUAGCCUUUUUUAUGAUCUUUAAAUAGCCUGAUCCAGGGAAACCUAAUUUCUGGUCUAUUGGAUAUCAAAUGAAUGUUCGAUAAUCUUUAGUAAACUUGUUUUUAAAUAUAUGUCCUUGGGUCCUUCUAUGUGUUGAUUUCACGAAAGCAUUUAGCUUCAGAUUUCAGAACAUGUUUUAGGGUUUUGGAAUUAGAAAGUUUUUGAUAUAUGAAGUGCUAUGGGUUGCUUACUGCUUUUGCUCGUUUGUUGGUAACGUCACGCAAGCGGUGGUGGCUAGUUGGAGAAUUAUUUAAACCCCCAAAGUAAAGAGUAACUUCAUGCUAUAUGGUUCUAGUUUAAUGAUUAGUUUGCAUGAACUAAGAAAAAUGGAGUAUGAAUUUAUUUGUUUGAGUUCAUAUGCCGAAUGCCUUAUUAUUACCUAUGCAGACUGUUAGUUUUGCUAUGUUACUGAAACACACUAGGAUAACAUGUAACAAAAGCUUGCUUGACCAAUAUAUGUAUUCCUAUUAUUGUAUCAAAGAGGCUGUUACUUGGUACACCCUUCCUUUAGAAGGGGAAAAUUAAAAUAUUCAAAAUAGUGAUACUUCAAAAGAAGUGAAAAUGUAUUCAACUUCCAACAACCUUACCGUUCUCACUUGUUUCAAAGUGAUAAAUUAUUUUUUAAUUAGGGUUACUGUUUUCUAACAAUGCUUUAACUUGUGCAGGAUCUGCACUGCUCUCUCAAGGAUUUUCCGAUGUUUUUAUGAAAAGAUUACGUGAAUUAAUUUAAGACAUCAUAUUAGUAACAUAAGAGGAGAAAUGAGAAAUUGAAAAUUUGAUAAUUACCAAUUAUAUGAAGUGUUUCAAGUUUCUGAUUCAUAAUUUAGUCUUAGAUCGUGUUUGUUUUAGAAUUUGGAGAUUAGGUUUAGUAUUUCACCAUGCUUUUAGUGGGUUAGAAAUUUAGAAUGACAGAAUUGUAAAGUGAUGUUUAUAAACCUCACUCGCCAAAACUGUUGUUACUGUAUGGAGCCUCACUUUCCUUCUAGUGCAGUGUCUGAUUUUUAAAUUUGCAGGCAUUACUCAAAUUUGAAAAGCAUAUCAUGGAUGCUGGCGAGCUCCCUAUCAACCCCAUGAACCCCACCAGUGCUGGUAAUCAGGUAACCAGUACUGUGGAUCAUGUUGCAUUGUUGUUUGGUGUUUAAAGAAUUAAAAUUUUCUUUCUGUUGGGUAACAGGGAUAUGUGCUUUUGUUUUUAGCCAUGAAUCAUAUGUAAAAUAUAAGCAAAAUGUGUGGAAUAAAGCUAUUAAUGUUGAGAAAAUAAACUAGUAUAUUUUUUGUGUACCAAAGCAUCUCAAUUGAUCAAUAUAUUUAAAGCAUGUUCUUUUUACAUUGAAGAAUUUUGUUGUAAAAAGUAUAAGGUUGAGUACACGUGAGGUGAUUAAAGGUCUGCUUGAUUCACUUUUCUAGAAGCUUUAUUAUGUUUUCAGAGAACUUGUGUGAAAUUCGUUCGUCUGGCAGUUUUUAAAAAAUUGUGUUUAAAAAAAAAAAAAGAAUCUCUGCUUUAGGGCUAGGGGUGCACAAAGGAACUGUGGAACCGAACCGAACCGGGGUUCCGGUUCUGUUCUCACGGUUUCGAUUCUGGAACCGAACCGUAAUAUAUAUUAUAUAUAUUUGAUUAUAUUAUUAGUAACUCUAAUCCAAAAAACAAAAUAUUUUUAGGGCAAAUCAUUUCAGCCUCCCCAAUUGCCUCCAUCUCUAUUCUCGUUCUUGACUCUGAACUUGCCCUCUCUCUCUCUCCAACUGCAAACUACAAAAUCUACAAGAAUCAGAAGUUCAAAACCCAUAUAUUUCAGUUUAUCUAUCUGUCUGCAAGAAUCAAAAGUUCAAAACCUAUAUUGGCAUAUCAUUUUAGAUUGUUCAAAAAAUCAAAACCCAUAUCUUUCAGUUUCAAUCGCCCGCUGUUCCAGUUUGGGUUUGCCGUUCGCCGUUUGCAAGCUUCAGCCGCUGUCGCUCAACUCUCAAGCUUCCCCC
This is a long non-coding RNA of Cornus florida, 2909 nucleotides long. RefSeq lists it as uncharacterized. Lineage: Eukaryota; Viridiplantae; Streptophyta; Magnoliopsida; Cornales; Cornaceae. The record is from RefSeq and is a predicted model, not a curated record. The transcript is spliced from 3 exons.